This 945-nucleotide ribosomal RNA is filed under the name Triticum aestivum (bread wheat). RNAcentral's name for it is "partial small subunit ribosomal RNA". Lineage: Eukaryota; Viridiplantae; Streptophyta; Magnoliopsida; Poales; Poaceae. The record is from RNAcentral.
AUGUUCGGUCGCUCCUUUUCUUCCUCUCGGUACAAGGCCGCCGCCGCCGCCGCAACGUCCCAAUCCAGAUCUAGCGCGAUGAAGAGGAGUGAUAUGAGGCCGGCCAGGCAGACGGAGCUGUGGGGGGCGGUGACGAAGAAGAGAUCCAAGGAGGAGCUGCGGAUGAUGAAGAAGAAUAUUUGUCCAAUUUGUUACCGUUCGCUCAGGCUAUUCAAAGUCGAAAAUAGGAUUCGUCGCUUGUUUCUCUCAAGCAAGCCCAACUGGAGGAAGGCGAUUGGGGCGGCCGCCGUGUCCAGGAUGCUGAUGAAGAAGAAGGCGAUGUGGGUGGCCGUCGUGACGAAGAUGAUGACGAGGAAGAAGGCGACAAGCUCCAAACUCAGCGAGGUGAAGGCGACAAGCCCCAAACGUAGCGAGGUUAGCGAGGUGAAGGCGGCGAGCCCCAAACCUAGCGAGGUUAGCGAGGUGAAGGCGGCGAGCCCCAACCCUAGCGAGGUGAAGGAGAUGUUGGCGGACGCCCAAUCGAUUGAGAAGGGCAGCAAGAACAUGGCGUGGGGCGGAGAGAGAAUGAGGAAGAUUGUGGCUGACGCCGAAUGGAAAAAGGAGGGCAGCAAUUACUUUACGUGGGGCGAAGAGACAACGAGGAAGUGGAGGGGAGAGAGGAUGACAAGGACGGAGACGUGGAAGUUUAGCGCGAAUUACCUGGUGUUCAUGAGGAAUACUCUCCCUCCCCUGCCCGUCGAAGACUUCUCUACUAGCAAUCCCUUCCUCCGCAUGAAUCAAGAAAUAGCAGCCACUCAAUACAAGGCUAGGCAUGAGUUCUGCGACUACGUCUUCAGCCAGCAUGAUGUCAGAAAAGGGUACUCGGAGUUCCAAGUGGAGGUCACCGACGACGGGGAAGUAAUGGUCCCGGCGAAGUUUCGUGACAACAAAGACAACGUUGCCUAG